ACCAGGCGCAGUGGUGCACGCCUGUAAUCCCAGCAGCUAGAGAGGCUGAGACGGGAGGAUCGCAAGUUCAAAGCCAGCCUCAGCAAUGGUGAGGUGCUAAGCAACUCAGUGAGACCCUGUCUCUA
This 125-nucleotide small RNA is filed under the name Marmota monax (woodchuck). Lineage: Eukaryota; Metazoa; Chordata; Mammalia; Rodentia; Sciuridae. The record is from RNAcentral.